GCAUAACGCGAAGAACCUUACCUACCCUUGACAUGUCAGAGAUCCCUGAGAGAUUGGGGAGUGCCGCAAGGAAUCUGAACACAGGUGCUGCAUGGCUGUCGUCAGCUCGUGUCGUGAGAUGUUGGGUUAAGUCCCGCAACGAGCGCAACCCUUGUCGUUAAUUGCCAUCAUUUGGUUGGGCACUUUAACGAGACUGCCGGUGACAAACCGGAGGAAGGUGGGGAUGACGUCAAGUCCCCAUGGCCCUUAUGGGUAGGGCUUCACACGUCAUACAAUGGUCGGUACAGAGGGUUGCGAAGCCGCGAGGUGGAGCCAAUCCCAGAAAGCCGAUCGUAGUCCGGAUUGGAGGCUGCAACUCGCCUCCAUGAAGUUGGAAUCGCUAGUAAUGGCGCAUCAUCUACGGCGCCGUGAAUACGUUCCCGGGUCUUGUACACACCG
Molecule: ribosomal RNA, 438 nt
Filed under: uncultured bacterium
Lineage: Bacteria
Description: bacterial SSU rRNA
Rfam family: Bacterial small subunit ribosomal RNA
Source: RNAcentral